UUAAAAUAAACAUAUAUGAAUUGCACCUCAAUCCAAUUUUAAGAUAUUAUGAUGUUAGUGUCAUAAAUACAAUUGUCCUGCGGUGACUGCAGAUAUUACUGGGAACUAAAGCAGUUUGGUGCAACAGAAGGACCAAACAUUUUAGUCUCUCUUGAAUUCAAAUCUCAACCUCUCCAUGGACCAGCAGUAGAACAUUAGAAAUGUUGUUCAACAUCGCCAUAUUUCUGUGUUUCUAAAAUACCUGCCCCACAAGAUUAGUGUGAAGAUUAAAUUAAAUGCUGUCUGUGAAACUCAUAACAGGAUUAAGUGCUUGGGAAAGGUUUGUUUCCAUUUCUAAUAGCAGGUUUGACUCUUGGGAUAAGAUUAUUUCCUCCUCCUUAUGCUGGCUAACUCCUCCUCUUCUUCUGAGACAUAGACCCUGGGAUACCUUCUCUGGGCAGCUCUUGACCACCCCACCCUCCCGGUUGACUUCCAGAUGAGCUGGGCAUUUCUUCUGGCACUCCUGUGACACUGUGUUGACCUAUCUCAAAUCACCAGCCACUCUGCAUUCAUUGCUGUGGUUUGCCUCCUUGCCUCUGCCACUGGACUAGAAGAGUUUGGAAACGUCCAGAGACCAACUGUCAACUUCACCCUGUAACCCUUCACAGAUGUACACCCAAAGACUCAGAGAUACUCGGUAACUUGCCCAAGGUCACACAGACUGUAAGCAGCUCUCAACACCGCGUGGGACUUCUGCACAAGGAAAUUUCUCUUUGGGAGAAGUCACCAAGUUGCAUCCAGCACAUGGACUGGUUCUUUUACUCAUCCACAGGCUUCGAAGUCAAACAAAGGAAUUGAGUCCCAGGGAGUUAAAGAGACAAGCAGGAGAGAAGAACAAGAAGCUGGAUUGUCAUGAGUCUCAGAAAGAAACCUUCUUCAUACCUAUUUGACUCUAUAGAGAUGUGAUCUGUCUUCUGCAUAAGCUGAAAGAAUCAUCUGGAAUAACCACAGAAAAUCGGAUCACUGCCUUAGAUGUAGAUAAAAAGGCUGGCAGAAACCCAAAGGCAAGUACGCUAACUUCGGAUUCUCAGAGAGAUAAAAGUAGGCCGUUCAUCAGCAAAUCCACCUUGGUAGAGACAGGGUUUCACCGUGUUA
Macaca mulatta (Rhesus monkey) is the source of this 1134-nucleotide non-coding RNA. The record is from RefSeq and is a predicted model, not a curated record. Lineage: Eukaryota; Metazoa; Chordata; Mammalia; Primates; Cercopithecidae.